RNAcentral lists this ribosomal RNA (439 nucleotides) under uncultured bacterium. RNAcentral's name for it is "bacterial SSU rRNA". It matches the Rfam family "Bacterial small subunit ribosomal RNA", at positions 959 to 1397 of the family's 1533-position model. The record is from RNAcentral.
ACGCGAGGAACCUUACCAGGUCUUGACAUCCCAUUGACCGCUAUGGAGACAUAGCUUUCCUUUCGGGGACAGUGGUGACAGGUGGUGCAUGGUUGUCGUCAGCUCGUGUCGUGAGAUGUUGGGUCAAGUCCCGCAACGAGCGCAACCCUUGUUCUUAGUUGCCAUCAUUUAGUUGGGCACUCUAAGGAGACUGCCGGUGACAAACCGGAGGAAGGUGGGGAUGACGUCAAAUCAUCAUGCCCCUUAUGACCUGGGCUACACACGUGCUACAAUGGACGGUACAAACGGUUGCCAACCCGCGAGGGGGAGCUAAUCCGAUAAAACCGUUCUCAGUUCGGAUUGUAGGCUGCAACUCGCCUACAUGAAGCUGGAAUCGCUAGUAAUCGCGGAUCAGCAUGCCGCGGUGAAUACGUUCCCGGGCCUUGCACUCACCGCCCGU